RNAcentral lists this ribosomal RNA (764 nucleotides) under uncultured bacterium. Its description in RNAcentral is "bacterial SSU rRNA". It matches the Rfam family "Bacterial small subunit ribosomal RNA", at positions 123 to 890 of the family's 1533-position model. The record is from RNAcentral.
AAUCUACCUUGUACAGGGGAAUAGCCCAGAGAACUUUGGAUUAAUGCCCCAUAGUAUAAUUGAAUCGCAUGGUUUAAUUAUUAAAGUUCCAACGGUACAAGAUGAGCAUGCGUCCCAUUAGUUAGUUGGUAAGGUAACGGCUUACCAAGACAAUGAUGGGUAGGGGUCCUGAGAGGGAGAUCCCCCACACUGGUACUGAGACACGGACCAGACUCCUACGGGAGGCAGCAGUGAGGAAUAUUGGUCAAUGGGCGCAAGCCUGAACCAGCCAUGCCGCGUGCAGGAAGACGGUCCUAUGGAUUGUAAACUGCUUUUAUACAGGAAGAAACAACUCUACGUGUAGAGUCUUGACGGUACUGUAGGAAUAAGGAUCGGCUAACUCCGUGCCAGCAGCCGCGGUAAUACGGAGGAUCCAAGCGUUAUCCGGAAUCAUUGGGUUUAAAGGGUCCGUAGGCGGUCUUAUAAGUCAGUGGUGAAAUCUCCUAGCUCAACUAGGAAACUGCCAUUGAUACUGUAAGACUUGAAUUUUUGUGAAGUAACUAGAAUAUGUAGUGUAGCGGUGAAAUGCUUAGAUAUUACAUGGAAUACCAAUUGCGAAGGCAGGUUACUAACAAACGAUUGACGCUGAUGGACGAAAGCGUGGGGAGCGAACAGGAUUAGAUACCCUGGUAGUCCACGCCGUAAACGAUGGAUACUAGCUGUUCGGAGCAAUCUGAGUGGCUAAGCGAAAGUGAUAAGUAUCCCACCUGGGGAGUACGCACGCA